GGGGGUGCACCGGUUUCGACGGAAUUGAGAAAUCUUUUACUGCAAGUAAGAGUGAAGGUUCUUUAAACUGACAAAAAAAUAACUGCAAUUUUCGCAAGAAAAGAAGAAGAAGCUGAAGAAGCUUACUUCGAAGCAGAAGCACUCGCUGCGUAAGCACUUGUGCAAGAAAUCAUCUGACCUUGUCCCUCGUUAGAUGAUAUUCUUCCACCCAUAGGGACUUGCUGACAUUAGUGUCUGGUAUAAUGUCGGGACUUUUUAUCAGAAUAAGCUGGCGACGCUUGUUAUGCUGCUACCGACAGACGAAAACUACCUCGCAUAACUAAACUUGUAGAUGUAACUGGUUUACUUUUUCGGACGGGGGUUCAAUUCCCCCCACCUCCA
Molecule: transfer-messenger RNA, 381 nt
Filed under: uncultured Treponema sp.
Lineage: Bacteria; Pseudomonadati; Spirochaetota; Spirochaetia; Treponematales; Treponemataceae
Rfam family: transfer-messenger RNA
About the family: Bacterial tmRNA, also known as 10Sa RNA or SsrA, is named for its dual tRNA and mRNA-like properties. Its role is to liberate the mRNA from a stalled ribosome. To accomplish this part of the tmRNA is used as a reading frame that ends in a translation stop signal.
Source: RNAcentral